Molecule: unclassified non-coding RNA, 341 nt
Filed under: Rhizopogon sp.
Lineage: Eukaryota; Fungi; Basidiomycota; Agaricomycetes; Boletales; Rhizopogonaceae
Also listed under: 3 other names
Description: partial contains 5.8S ribosomal RNA, internal transcribed spacer 2, and large subunit ribosomal RNA
Rfam family: 5.8S ribosomal RNA (bases 1-52)
Source: RNAcentral
AACGCACCUUGCGCUCCUCGGUGUUCCGAGGAGCAUGCCUGUUUGAGUGUCAGUAAAUUCUCAACCCCUCUUGAUUUGUUUCGAGGGGGAGCUUGGAUUGUGGGGGCUGCCGGAGACUAGGACUCGUCCUUGACUCGGGCUCUCCUUAAAUGCAUCGGCUUGCGGUCGACUUUCGACUUUGCGCGACAAGGCUUUCGGCGUGAUAAUGAUCGCCGUUCGCUGAAGCGCAUGAAUGAAGGUUCCGUGCCUCUAAUUCGUCGACUUAGUAUCUCUUCCGAGAGAAAACGUCUUCUUCAUUGACUUUUGACCUCAAAUCAGGUAGGACUACCCGCUGAACUUAA